GGGUUGUGAGGUUAAGCGACUAAGCGUACACGGUGGAUGCCCUGGCAGUCAGAGGCGAUGAAGGACGUGCUAAUCUGCGAUAAGCGCCGGUAAGGUGAUAUGAACCGUUAUAACCGGCGAUUUCCGAAUGGGGAAACCCAGUGUGACUCGUCACACUAUCAUUAACUGAAUCCAUAGGUUAAUGAGGCGAACCGGGGGAACUGAAACAUCUAAGUACCCCGAGGAAAAGAAAUCAACCGAGAUUCCCCCAGUAGCGGCGAGCGAACGGGGAGGAGCCCAGAGCCUGAAUCAGCAUGUGUGUUAGUGGAAGCGUCUGGAAAGGCGCGCGAUACAGGGUGACAGCCCCGUACACAAAAGCGCAUGUGCUGUGAGCUCGAUGAGUAGGGCGGGACACGUGGUAUCCUGUCUGAAUAUGGGGGGACCAUCCUCCAAGGCUAAAUACUCCUGACUGACCGAUAGUGAACCAGUACCGUGAGGGAAAGGCGAAAAGAACCCCGGCGAGGGGAGUGAAAAAGAACCUGAAACCGUGUACGUACAAGCAGUGGGAGCACCCUUUGGGGUGUGACUGCGUACCUUUUGUAUAAUGGGUCAGCGACUUAUAUUCUGUAGCAAGGUUAACCGUAUAGGGGAGCCGGAGGGAAACCGAGUCUUAACCGGGCGUUAAGUUGCAGGGUAUAGACCCGAAACCCGGUGAUCUAGCCAUGGGCAGGUUGAAGGUUGGGUAACACUAACUGGAGGACCGAACCGACUAAUGUUGAAAAAUUAGCGGAUGACCUGUGGCUGGGGGUGAAAGGCCAAUCAAACCGGGAGAUAGCUGGUUCUCCCCGAAAGCUAUUUAGGUAGCGCCUCGUGAAUUCAUCUCCGGGGGUAGAGCACUGUUUCGGCUAGGGGGCCAUCCCGGCUUACCAACCCGAUGCAAACUGCGAAUACCGGAGAAUGUUAUCACGGGAGACACACGGCGGGUGCUAACGUCCGUCGUGAAGAGGGAAACAACCCAGACCGCCAGCUAAGGUCCCAAAGUCAUGGUUAAGUGGGAAACGAUGUGGGAAGGCCCAGACAGCCAGGAUGUUGGCUUAGAAGCAGCCAUCAUUUAAAGAAAGCGUAAUAGCUCACUGGUCGAGUCGGCCUGCGCGGAAGAUGUAACGGGGCUAAACCAUGCACCGAAGCUGCGGCAGCGACACUCAGGUGUUGUUGGGUAGGGGAGCGUUCUGUAAGCCUGCGAAGGUGUGUCGUGAGGCAUGCUGGAGGUAUCAGAAGUGCGAAUGCUGACAUAAGUAACGAUAAAGCGGGUGAAAAGCCCGCUCGCCGGAAGACCAAGGGUUCCUGUCCAACGUUAAUCGGGGCAGGGUGAGUCGACCCCUAAGGCGAGGCCGAAAGGCGUAGUCGAUGGGAAACGGGUUAAUAUUCCCGUACUUGGUGUUACUGCGAAGGGGGGACGGAGAAGGCUAUGUUGGCCGGGCGACGGUUGUCCCGGUUUAAGCGUGUAGGUGUGUGUUCCAGGUAAAUCCGGUUCACUUUAACACUGAGGCGUGAUGACGAGGCACUACGGUGCUGAAGCAACAAAUGCCCUGCUUCCAGGAAAAGCCUCUAAGCAUCAGGUAACAUCAAAUCGUACCCCAAACCGACACAGGUGGUCAGGUAGAGAAUACCAAGGCGCUUGAGAGAACUCGGGUGAAGGAACUAGGCAAAAUGGUGCCGUAACUUCGGGAGAAGGCACGCUGACAC
RNAcentral lists this ribosomal RNA (1725 nucleotides) under Salmonella enterica subsp. enterica serovar Oranienburg. RNAcentral describes it as "partial 23S ribosomal RNA". It matches the Rfam family "Bacterial large subunit ribosomal RNA", at positions 1 to 1757 of the family's 2925-position model. Lineage: Bacteria; Pseudomonadati; Pseudomonadota; Gammaproteobacteria; Enterobacterales; Enterobacteriaceae. The record is from RNAcentral.